CGUGGGAGGCUGGGUGAGGAGUCGCUUGGAGACCAGCCCAGAGCACUUCUCCAGAACCACACGCCCUCUAAGCACAGUGACCUGAAUUUCGGAUAUGUAUAAAAGUGGAGAUAAAACAAUCUGUGACUUACAGUGGAUGCAUCAGGGAAGGAAAGGGAUGGAUCCUUGAGUGAAAACCGUGGCAGAAGAACAAACGCUAGGCUCUGAAGACUGCAUGUGCGUCACCAGAAUCCCAGGGAGUGCGUCCGGAGGUCCUUCUCCCGAGCUCUGCUCCACAUAGCCAGCAAAGCCCAGGCUGCCAUUCGCCACAUCGCACCUGUGUGCAUCUGUCUGCCUCCCAUUAGCAAGAGACCAGAAAUAGUAAACGACUACCAGGUUCCAGUGGGAAGUGGAUGAAGAGUCCACAAAGCUGAACUUCAGAGCAUUUUAACAGGUUGAAAAAUAGAAGAUCACAGAAGCCACCUGGGCCACGGAAGCGGGAGAGGCUCAUUCACAAGGUCACCUCGGAGUAUCGUCCAGCGAGGGAGCUGUUUCUCCAUAGAACCAUGCCACAAACAGGAUGCUGUGGACAGCAGGACUAGGCGGCCGACUUACAGCUAAACACAUAAGUAAAAGGCCUCACAAUCAGCAGCUUUCGAAGCCGUGCUUCUGAGAGAUUCUUCCUCUGUUCUCCAUGCUCCCUCCCCCUGGUUGCCCACCGGGUGUCACAUGUGGGUGCCCACUGGAAGCUGAACACCACUCCCCGUGCUGUGCUGUGGGCCAUCUCGGUGUCUCAGAGAAGUGGCUUGGCCACAGACACACAGAAAGAGCUCAAGCUGAGACAAGCUGUAUUUUUUAAUUAAGCUGUGUAUUGUUAGUCAAAAACGCAUUUUGGAGAAUAUUUGACAAACAUUCUGACUAAAGAUGGUGAAACGAUGAAAGGCCAAAUGUCCACCGUCCUUACUACAAAAUGAAAUUAACAGCACUAAGUAGUUAUACACAAAUUUUAAACACAAGAGAGGUAAGACUGAGCUUUAAGUUUUUCCAGGAACCACUAAACAAAGGGCCCAGAUGGCGAUUACUUACCAAAGUGACAGGUCGGGAAAGGAGGAGGACUUCUGUGCCACUGUGGCUUGCAGUCUCUUACCCAGUCCUCCCAGGCAGAGGAAGAACGGGUGCCGGUGAGGUACA
Molecule: long non-coding RNA, 1170 nt
Organism: Fukomys damarensis (Damara mole-rat)
Lineage: Eukaryota; Metazoa; Chordata; Mammalia; Rodentia; Bathyergidae
Exons: 4
Source: RefSeq, a predicted model, not a curated record